CAGCGUGUAGCUCAGCAGUAGAGCACCGGGCUCGGGACCCGGAGGGCGCGGGUGCGAAUCCUGCCACGCUGGC
This 73-nucleotide transfer RNA is filed under the name Actinomadura sp. NBRC 104412. Its description in RNAcentral is "tRNA-Pro". It matches the Rfam family "tRNA". Rfam says of the family: Transfer RNA (tRNA) molecules are approximately 80 nucleotides in length. Lineage: Bacteria; Bacillati; Actinomycetota; Actinomycetes; Streptosporangiales; Thermomonosporaceae. The record is from RNAcentral.